Molecule: long non-coding RNA, 1065 nt
Organism: Anthonomus grandis grandis
Lineage: Eukaryota; Metazoa; Arthropoda; Insecta; Coleoptera; Curculionidae
Exons: 3
Source: RefSeq, a predicted model, not a curated record
UUCUAAUUCAUGAUUUCGUGACAUCACGUAACGACUACGGACAAUUUGCGAUUCUAAUUCGUUAAAGGCACUCGAUACCUCUCGUUUUGAAAUGUCAAAUUAGUCGAGACCACCGGAGAUCCCGAUUAUGGAAAUCUAACCUCAAUUUUUUGAUGAGCGUCCGGCUUUUGCUUAAAAAAAAACAUGUCAUUUAAAAUUAAUGAAAACCAUUUACGAGUAUUUGUGGAGUUUAUGGAAGAAAACCCGGAUUUAGCAAGAGGGAGGUUAUCUUGCUCCAAUGCAAAAGAACAAUUUAAGAGAUUAUGGGCAAAACUGGCCAAUAAUCUAAAUUCUCUUGGUUAUGGGACUAGAACUAUAGAAAAAUGGCAAAGGACGUGGUCUGACUAUAAACAGGGACUUAAGAGAAGAGCUGCAGAUAUAAAAAGGGAGCGAAUGAAGACGGGGGGUGGGCCAGCAUAUCCUGAUAUGCUAUCAGAUACUGAUCAAAGAGUUAUCCUUAUUUUGGGAAAAACAUAUUUUGAAGGAUGUGGAGUGGAGGAGAAGGGUGUAAGUUGCAUUUUUUGGCUUAAGAAACAAAGGCAUUAUUAUAUUGUCCGAUAUUUUUGUAUUGUAUAAUAUUUUAAGUUUGCUCAUGGAAAAUAUUAUCCAGAGGAAGAACCCGUUAGUGGUCCAUCGAGUGCUCCAUCAAGUAUAGUGGAUGCUCGGUUCAAUGGUAGUUUAUACAAUAGUGAAUACACACAGCCCGGACCCUCAAAUAUUUCUAUGCAGAUUCCUACAGAAAAUAAAGCAUUAGAAGAACAAACCAACAAGCCACGACCACAAAAAAGGAGUAUUUCACAACAGCUUCAUGUAGUCGAUCAUGAUUAUUUAGUCACACCAAGAACUAAAAGGCAAAAGGUUACUCCCACAAAUGAAAUCUAUUAUCAAGAGACAAUAAAUCUAUUAAAAAGUAUCGACAGUCAUUUAGAAACCCUAAAUCAUACCCUAAAUGAAAAAUUAGGCGAUAUAACAGAGGCCAUCAGACAGAGACACUCUUAAAGGAACUUUCACUUUUUAGGGAUGAUA